Ictalurus punctatus (channel catfish) is the source of this 428-nucleotide long non-coding RNA. The record is from Ensembl. NCBI's taxonomy places the organism in Eukaryota, Metazoa, Chordata, Actinopteri, Siluriformes, Ictaluridae.
GGUUUACGAGCUUUGCAGUAUCGUUUAAUUGAAAGAACGAUAGUGUACGUAGCUGGUUAAUGAAAGGAUGUUCGGAGGAAGUAAGGUCACAGGAAGUGAGACUACAGCUCAAGUGGCACGUAAGUGUAAAACGAUGACAUCACGCGCCGUGCAGCCUGCGCUGAUACAGCGUCGAACGUCCACAUCCCAGCAGAGAACAAAAGCGAGUGCGCUCGUCUUUCGCUUCUUCACAAAGGCCCACGUUAACAAAACAAACCGAGUACGCCGCGCUGUACGGUACAUUCCACAGCACGUGACCUACAGCAUGUGUUGGCAUGCGCUGAUGUGCCUUCAGCAUCCAAAAAGCAUGAGCUCAUAACCUACAGACGCCAUAAAAUAAUCAUUAAAAAAAAAAAAAAAGUGCAGUGAUUUCACUAGCCACGUCUACA